AAGUCGUGGUGCGAGCAUCUUCGAAACAAGGCCUUAUACCUUUCCCAUGCUUCGUUCAAAGACUCAUAGUCCAACUGUGUGAAAGAAGUUAUAUCAUUCCUUAUCUU
RNAcentral lists this small nucleolar RNA (107 nucleotides) under Theobroma cacao (cacao). RNAcentral's name for it is "Plant small nucleolar RNA R71". It matches the Rfam family "Plant small nucleolar RNA R71". Rfam says of the family: R71 is a member of the C/D box family of snoRNAs containing the C (UGAUGA) and D (CUGA) box motifs. Multiple nearly identical copies of this snoRNA have been identified in Arabidopsis, and it is thought to function as a 2'-O-ribose methylation guide for 18S ribosomal RNA. Lineage: Eukaryota; Viridiplantae; Streptophyta; Magnoliopsida; Malvales; Malvaceae. The record is from Rfam by way of RNAcentral.